RNAcentral lists this transfer RNA (84 nucleotides) under Jatropha curcas. It matches the Rfam family "tRNA". From Rfam's summary of the family: Transfer RNA (tRNA) molecules are approximately 80 nucleotides in length. Their secondary structure includes four short double-helical elements and three loops (D, anti-codon, and T loops). The record is from Rfam by way of RNAcentral. Lineage: Eukaryota; Viridiplantae; Streptophyta; Magnoliopsida; Malpighiales; Euphorbiaceae.
CCGACCUUAGCUCAGUUGGUAGAGCGGAGGACUGUAGUUGAAACUGUUAUCCUUAGGUCGCUGGUUCGAAUCCGGCAGGUCGGA